AACGAAGCACUUAUAACUGAUUCCUUCGGGACUGAUUAUUUUGUGACUGAGUGGCGGACGGGUGAGUAACGCGUGGGUAACCUGCCUUGUACAGGGGGAUAACAGUUGGAAACGGCUGCUAAUACCGCAUAAGCGCACGGCAUCGCAUGAUAUUUUAUUAAAGAAUUUCGGUUAUCGAUGGGGAUGCGUUCCAUUAGUUUGUUGGCGGGGUAACGGCCCACCAAGACUACGAUGGAUAGGGGUUCUGAGAGGAAGGUCCCCACAUUGGGACUGAGACACGGCCCAAACUCC
RNAcentral lists this ribosomal RNA (291 nucleotides) under uncultured bacterium. RNAcentral's name for it is "partial 16S ribosomal RNA". The stretch from base 56 to 291 matches the Rfam family "Bacterial small subunit ribosomal RNA", at positions 100 to 339 of the family's 1533-position model. The record is from RNAcentral.